UUGCUGUUUUCCUUUUGGUUUUGCAGCCGUCACUUGAUGCCUAUUCUCUCUGAUUUCUGUUUUUCUUCAGAAUUUUCCUUUCAGCCGUGCUCCCUAUCCUUCCUCCUCCUUGCGGCUGCUGAUUCUUGUUCCUUUUAUAUGAGCUCCAAUCCGUAAACCCUCUCUCGGAUGGUGAGGAUGAAGAGCUUAUCCUCCCUCUUCCAUCCAGCCAUCCGAUGGCUAUUGAAGUUGUACCUUGC
This 239-nucleotide long non-coding RNA is filed under the name Coffea arabica (coffee). RNAcentral's name for it is "long non-coding RNA (CARA_LNC001250)". The record is from RNAcentral. Lineage: Eukaryota; Viridiplantae; Streptophyta; Magnoliopsida; Gentianales; Rubiaceae.